CCUACGGGUGGCAGCAGUGAGGAAUAUUGGUCAAUGGCCGAGAGGCUGAACCAGCCAAGUCGCGUGAGGGACGACUGCCCUAUGGGUUGUAAACCUCUUUUAUAAGGGAAUAAAACAUGCUACGUGUAGCUUUAUGCCUGUACCUUAUGAAUAAGCAUCGGCUAACUCCGUGCCAGCAGCCGCGGUAAUACGGAGGAUGCGAGCGUUAUCCGGAUUUAUUGGGUUUAAAGGGUGCGUAGGCGGUUGUUUAAGUUAGUGGUAAAAUGUCGGGGCUAAACCUUGAAUUGCCAUUGAUACUGUAAGACUUGAGUGCAGUAGAGGUAGGCGGAAUGAGUGGAGUAGCGGUGAAAUGCUUAGAUAUCACGAAGAACUCCGAUGGCGAAGGCAGCUUACCAGACUGCGACUGACGCUGAUGCACGAGAGCGUGGGUAGCGAACAGGAUUAGAUACCCUUGUAGUC
This 459-nucleotide ribosomal RNA is filed under the name uncultured bacterium. Its description in RNAcentral is "partial 16S ribosomal RNA". It matches the Rfam family "Bacterial small subunit ribosomal RNA", at positions 338 to 795 of the family's 1533-position model. The record is from RNAcentral.